GCUUAGCCAUAAACCCAGAUAUUUAACAUACAAAAAUAUCCGCCAGAGAACUACGAGCAAAACGCUUAAAACUCUAAGGACUUGGCGGUACCUUAAACCCCCCUAGAGGAGCCUGUUCUAUAAUCGAUAAUCCACGAUCUACCUCACCAUCUCUUGCCAAUACCGCCUAUAUACCGCCGUCACCAGCCUACCCUAUGAAGGAUAUAAAAGUAGGCAAAAUCGCACAACAGCUAACAAGUCAGGUCAAGGUGUAGCUUACUGAGAUGGAAGAAAUGGGCUACAUUUUCUAAACUAGAAAUCAUUUCACGGAAAGAACUAUGAAACAAGUCCUAUAAGCAGGAUUUAGCAGUAAAUAGGGAUCAGAAUGCCCAAUUUAAGCCGGUCCUAAGGUACGC
This 395-nucleotide ribosomal RNA is filed under the name Testudo hermanni boettgeri. RNAcentral describes it as "partial 12S small subunit ribosomal RNA". It matches the Rfam family "Bacterial small subunit ribosomal RNA", at positions 794 to 1384 of the family's 1533-position model. Lineage: Eukaryota; Metazoa; Chordata; Testudines; Testudinidae. The record is from RNAcentral.